This 324-nucleotide long non-coding RNA is filed under the name Numida meleagris (helmeted guineafowl). RNAcentral describes it as "lncRNA (ENSNMEG00000023017.1)". Lineage: Eukaryota; Metazoa; Chordata; Aves; Galliformes; Numididae. The record is from RNAcentral.
CUGCAAUGCCGCAGUCUCUGCAGCCAUCUUGUGGGGAUUCUGGGCAUGUUCACUGCGCAGUGACUGGCUGCUAACAGCCGGCUUGCAAGCUUUACUUCCUUGCCUCAGCAAAUUUUGUCUGGGUCAGAGUGAACUCUGACUCUGGGUGCUGCACUGGCCAGGCUUCCCAGCGCCAGAUCUCGGUGUGCAGUUGAAGUGGAUGAAGUCGUUUAUCAGCAAGGAACAUCACAAGUGUCGUACAACAAAGAAGUCCUUCCAGAUUGGAUAUUAAGACAAAGAGCUUUUGGCAUUUGUGCAGACUUAAAUGAACAUCUGUGUUUCUGA